UAUACUACCCCUUUCCUAAAAGAGCUUCCAAAGAUGGUAACCGCUCCAAUCCUGCUUUCCAUCUGAAGAGUGGCCGUGCUUCUAAGACAGUUUUGACGCGGCUUUGGGAGGCAGAACGUCAAGAAAUCUGGAGAACUCAUGGGGUUUGACUUGCUCUUGAUUAAUGAAAAGUCGACGCUGCUACAAGGUUCAGUUCCAUCUCUGUCGACUGUAAUAAUAUGUUUGUGAGGAUGCUUCCACCCGUGAUGAGGAAGAAAUAAAGAGAGAGCCUCUGUGGUGGCUCUGUUCUUUAGCAGAUCAUGACGUCGUUCCCUGUUUCGUAAGGAGUUUCAUGAAUUAGUUCUGAAUUGUACAUAUAUGACUUGAUUUAGUCGGCUCUAUCGUGGGAUAAUCGCGGUACCCCCACUCAGACUGAUCCUAAAGUGUUUUUUUUAAUCAGGAUCUUGGUUCUGCUAGCUUAGGAAAAAGGAAAAUCGGGAACCGGGAUUCUUAGAUAUGAGUUGAGUCUAUGUUUAAGAAGAUAAUCGAUCUGGGGAAGCUCCGAUUAGUUUCAAUCCUUACGGCGGGAAUAUGGAGAGAUUAUAAAGUCGCAACACCGUUCCCGUACCGAGAUAAGCUUUUCAAUAUUUAAUACACUAUAAUAACUGGAAAUAAUUGUCAGCUGCAAAGAUAGAGAAGUGUUUUUAGAAAUAGAUUAAAGUGCUUCCCAGUUUCGUGACCUGGUUUUGUAAGUAAGAAGCCUUUAAAUAUGUAUUUGAUCACGAGCGAGUAAUAACAAAGAAGAAAAAGUGUAUUGGAGAAAGUAUUUUAGAAAGAGCUUCAAUCGAUUAGUAAAGGUCAAAACUUUCGUUGAUCUUAGGAACUUAUUCACAAAUGAAUAGAGUAUCCUACCUGUCAAGUACGACAUAUGAGAUAUUAUUUAUAAUUUGAUAUAAAGAUUGGUGUUAGUUAAAUAUUUAUUGCUUUGGUGAAGCAAUAUAGAAUGUAUUAGUUAUGGAUAUCAUAUAUUGUACGUUUUCUCUGUUUUACAUCACAAUACUCUACAAUUUUAAAUUGUUUCGAAAAGUAUUUAUAAAGAGGUUAAUUAAGAAUAUAGUGGGAUUCUGGAAAAUGCAAACGUUAAAACACCACUAGCUAUGUUUUUAAUACAUUAAUCAUUAUCAUAUUCCGUUAGGGUAUAGUAUCGUGAGAAAAUUUUGACUUUUAUAAAUGCAUUCAUUAUUUGUUUCUAAUAUGUUUUGUUUCACCACUAUUAUGUUUCUCGAAACAGUGGAAUUCAACCUCAGCAAAACUGUCACAGCAUGGGAAGAAAUGUUUAAAUGGAAGAAUGAAUUUGGAACAGAUCGCAUUAUAAAGGUAUGUAGGUAAGUAACUGAUAUUAUAUUUGGUCUUAGAUGUUACAGAAAGGAGUACAUAUAUAGUAGCAUGCCCAAGUUAAUAAAGUUUUUGGCUUUAUUGCUCGAAACAAGAUUUCAAGUUCAAAGAGUUGGUCAACAUCAUAAUGCACUACCAUCAAGGGAAUCAUGGAAUUUAUGAAGAUGGAAUGCCUAUCUAUAUCGAGUGCCUAGGACAAGUCAUCCCAGUAAGUUAUGGAUAUUACAACGAGGGGUACUUGAAGUAUCAUGUACAUGAAUUCGAAAAGCCUCUGCAACAGAAGCUUAACCAACGUUUAUAUGCUUCAUAAAGUUCUUUAAGAACUUAACCAAAAAAUUUAUUGGUUUAAAUUCCAUUAAUGUAAAGAUACAUUAUUUUUUGUAACAUCGAAAUUUACAUAUUAUGAUUUUAAAUUAACUAUUGAUUUGAAUCUA
Long non-coding RNA from Brassica napus (rape), 1808 nucleotides. RefSeq lists it as uncharacterized. The transcript is spliced from 2 exons. The record is from RefSeq and is a predicted model, not a curated record. Lineage: Eukaryota; Viridiplantae; Streptophyta; Magnoliopsida; Brassicales; Brassicaceae.